This 814-nucleotide ribosomal RNA is filed under the name uncultured bacterium. RNAcentral describes it as "bacterial SSU rRNA". It matches the Rfam family "Bacterial small subunit ribosomal RNA", at positions 34 to 844 of the family's 1533-position model. The record is from RNAcentral.
CGCUGGCGGCGUGCCUAACACAUGCAAGUCGAACGGAACUUCUUUAAUUGACUUCUUCGGAAUGAUUUUGAUUAAGUUUAGUGGCGGACGGGUGAGUAACGCGUGAGUAACCUGCCUCUAAGGGGGGAAUAACAUUCUGAAAAGAAUGCUAAUACCGCAUAACAUAUAUUUAUCGCAUGGUAGAUAUAUCAAAGAUUUAUCGCUUAGAGAUGGACUCGCGUCCGAUUAGUUAGUUGGUGAGGUAACGGCUCACCAAGACCGCGAUCGGUAGCCGGACUGAGAGGUUGAACGGCCACAUUGGGACUGAGACACGGCCCAGACUCCUACGGGAGGCAGCAGUGGGGGAUAUUGCGCAAUGGGGGAAACCCUGACGCAGCAACGCCGCGUGAAGGAUGAAGGUCUUCGGAUUGUAAACUUCUUUUAUUAAGGACGAAGAAAGUGACGGUACUUAAUGAAUAAGCUCCGGCUAACUACGUGCCAGCAGCCGCGGUAAUACGUAGGGAGCAAGCGUUGUCCGGAUUUACUGGGUGUAAAGGGUGCGUAGGCGGCUUUGCAAGUUAGAUGUGAAAUCUAUGGGCUCAACCCAUAGCCUGCAUUUGAAACUGCAGAGCUUGAGUGAAGUAGAGGCAGGCGGAAUUCCCCGUGUAGCGGUGAAAUGCGUAGAGAUGGGGAGGAACACCAGUGGCGAAGGCGGCCUGCUGGGCUUUAACUGACGCUGAGGCACGAAAGCGUGGGUAGCAAACAGGAUUAGAUACCCUGGUAGUCCACGCUGUAAACGAUGAUUACUAGGUGUGGGGGGUCCGACCCCUUCCGU